UACAGAGGGUGCUAGCGUUAAUCGGAUUUACUGGGCGUAAAGGGCGCGUAGGCGGCCUUCUUAGUCGGACGUGAAAUCCCCAGGCUCAACUUGGGAACUGCGUCCGAUACUGGAUGGCUUGAGUGCGGGAGAGGGAUGUGGAAUUCCAGGUGUAGCGGUGAAAUGCGUAGAUAUCUGGAGGAACACCGGUGGCGAAGGCGGCAUCCUGGACCGACACUGACGCUGAGGCGCGAAAGCUAGGGGAGCAAACGGG
RNAcentral lists this ribosomal RNA (253 nucleotides) under uncultured bacterium. Its description in RNAcentral is "partial 16S ribosomal RNA". It matches the Rfam family "Bacterial small subunit ribosomal RNA", at positions 524 to 776 of the family's 1533-position model. The record is from RNAcentral.